This 86-nucleotide transfer RNA is filed under the name Candidatus Harrisonbacteria bacterium CG10_big_fil_rev_8_21_14_0_10_42_17. Its description in RNAcentral is "tRNA-Leu". It matches the Rfam family "tRNA". From Rfam's summary of the family: Transfer RNA (tRNA) molecules are approximately 80 nucleotides in length. Their secondary structure includes four short double-helical elements and three loops (D, anti-codon, and T loops). Further hydrogen bonds mediate the characteristic L-shaped molecular structure. tRNAs have two regions of fundamental functional importance: the anti-codon, which is responsible for specific mRNA codon recognition, and the 3' end, to which the tRNAs corresponding amino acid is attached (by aminoacyl-tRNA synthetases). tRNAs cope with the degeneracy of the genetic code in two manners: having more than one tRNA (with a specific anti-codon) for a particular amino acid; and 'wobble' base-pairing, i.e. permitting non-standard base-pairing at the 3rd anti-codon position. The record is from RNAcentral. Lineage: Bacteria; Candidatus Harrisoniibacteriota.
GCCCGGGUGGUGAAAUUGGUAUACACGCAACACUUAAGAUGUUGUGAGCUUUGCUCUUGUGGGUUCAAGUCCCACCCCGGGCACCA